Molecule: ribosomal RNA, 30 nt
Filed under: Stevia lundiana
Lineage: Eukaryota; Viridiplantae; Streptophyta; Magnoliopsida; Asterales; Asteraceae
Description: partial 26S rRNA
Source: RNAcentral
UCGCGACCCCAGGUCAGGCGGGACUACCCG